UAUGAAGGGUGAUUCGCUUCAGCCUGUGU
This 29-nucleotide non-coding RNA is filed under the name Mus musculus (house mouse). The record is from RNAcentral. Lineage: Eukaryota; Metazoa; Chordata; Mammalia; Rodentia; Muridae.